UAAAGUCUUGGUCCUGAACUUACCAUUACCUAGGGCUGGUAUUACACAUGCCAGUAUCAGCGCCCCCGUGCCCAAGCCCAUAAUCACCCUCUAAUACGGAGCCGGCAUCAGGCACAUCCAAUGAUAGCCCAUAACGCCUAGCACCAGCCACCCCCCCACGGGACCCAGCAGUGAUAAACAUUAGGCAAUAAGCCAUAAACACGCUUGACCUAGACACAGCCCCUGCAGAGCCGGUAAACCCCGUGCCAGCCACCGCGGUUAUACGGCGGACUCAAAGCAACCAAUCACGGCGUAAAACGUGACUAGAGACCACGACUGUCGCACAGGACACAAAACCAGUAUAGUGUUGUAGAAUACUAAUAUCACUGACUAACUCAACCAACUGCCCGAAACAACAGCCCAACUUGACCCCACGAAAACUAAGACACAAACUAGGAUUAGAUACCCUACUAUGCUUAGACGUAAACCCAGAUAGCACCACAACCAUCUAUCCGCCAGAGAAUUACAGACGAAAAGUCUGAAACUCAAAGGGAACUUGACGGUGUCCCACACCAACCUAGAGGAGCCUGUCCUACAAUCGAUACCCCCACGAUACACCUCACCUGCCCUUGUACCCACAGCCUAUAUACCGCCGUCGCCAGCUCACCCCAUGAGGGUCACAGUAGUGGGCACAACAGCCAGCACUAAAACGUCAGGUCAAGGUGUAGCUAACGGGCAGGCAGCGAUGGGCUACAUUUUCUUACAAAGAAAACCACAGAAAACAUAAUGAAAUCGUGCCAAAAGGCGGAUUUAGCAGUAAACACGGAAAGAGUCCCGAGUUGAAGCCAGCCCUGGGACGCGUACACACCGCCCGUCACCCUCAUCAACAACACGCAAUACAAUAAAUAAACACAUAUAGUACCGAAGAUGAGACAAGUCGUAACAUGGUAAGCGUACUGGAAAGUGCGCUUGGAAAACC
This 958-nucleotide non-coding RNA is filed under the name Cyrtodactylus chanhomeae. RNAcentral's name for it is "12S ribosomal RNA". It matches the Rfam family "Bacterial small subunit ribosomal RNA". Lineage: Eukaryota; Metazoa; Chordata; Lepidosauria; Squamata; Gekkonidae. The record is from RNAcentral.